RNAcentral lists this ribosomal RNA (443 nucleotides) under uncultured bacterium. RNAcentral describes it as "partial 16S ribosomal RNA". It matches the Rfam family "Bacterial small subunit ribosomal RNA", at positions 338 to 795 of the family's 1533-position model. The record is from RNAcentral.
CCUACGGGAGGCAGCAGUGGGGGAUAUUGGACAAUGGGGGAAACCCUGAUCCAGCGACGCCGCGUGAGUGAAGAAGUAUUUCGGUAUGUAAAGCCCUGUCAGCAGGGAAGAAAGACAUGACGGUACCUGACCAAGAAGCCCCGGCGAACUACGUGCCAGCAGCUGUGGUAAUACGUAGGGGGCAAGCGUUAUCCGGAAUUACUGGGUGUAAAGGGGUCGUAGGCGGUGAUGCAAGUCUGGAGGGAAAGGGGGGGGCCCAACCCCCGGACUGCUCUGGAAACUGUGUAACUUGAGUGCAGGAGAGGUAAGCGGAAUGCCUGGUGUAGCGGUGAAAUGCGUAGAUAUUAGGAGGAACACCAGUGGCGAAGGCGGCUUACUGGACUGUAACUGACGUUGAGGCUCGAAAGCGUGGGGAGCAAACAGGAUUAGAUACCCGGGUAGUC